CUUAAUCGACCCCAACCACAGCGGCUCGGCUCGAUCCUGCCCAUAGGUGGCCAACAACGCCUGCGCCUC
Molecule: antisense RNA, 69 nt
Filed under: Mycobacterium decipiens
Lineage: Bacteria; Bacillati; Actinomycetota; Actinomycetes; Mycobacteriales; Mycobacteriaceae
Description: Mycobacterium sp. TBL 1200985 ASpks TB sRNA
Rfam family: ASpks TB sRNA
Source: Rfam by way of RNAcentral